GUGUUAGUAGCUUAUAGGUAAAGCGUCUGACUGUGGAUCAGAAGAAGAGGGUUCGAGUCCCCCUAACACC
This 70-nucleotide transfer RNA is filed under the name Muribaculaceae bacterium. RNAcentral's name for it is "tRNA-His". It matches the Rfam family "tRNA". From Rfam's summary of the family: Transfer RNA (tRNA) molecules are approximately 80 nucleotides in length. Their secondary structure includes four short double-helical elements and three loops (D, anti-codon, and T loops). Further hydrogen bonds mediate the characteristic L-shaped molecular structure. tRNAs have two regions of fundamental functional importance: the anti-codon, which is responsible for specific mRNA codon recognition, and the 3' end, to which the tRNAs corresponding amino acid is attached (by aminoacyl-tRNA synthetases). tRNAs cope with the degeneracy of the genetic code in two manners: having more than one tRNA (with a specific anti-codon) for a particular amino acid; and 'wobble' base-pairing, i.e. permitting non-standard base-pairing at the 3rd anti-codon position. Lineage: Bacteria; Pseudomonadati; Bacteroidota; Bacteroidia; Bacteroidales; Muribaculaceae. The record is from RNAcentral.